RNAcentral lists this non-coding RNA (158 nucleotides) under Salmo salar (Atlantic salmon). Its description in RNAcentral is "Eukaryotic large subunit ribosomal RNA". It matches the Rfam family "Eukaryotic large subunit ribosomal RNA", at positions 967 to 1124 of the family's 3401-position model. The record is from Rfam by way of RNAcentral. Lineage: Eukaryota; Metazoa; Chordata; Actinopteri; Salmoniformes; Salmonidae.
UUUCCCUCAUGAUAGCUGGCGCUCGAAGUCUCACAGUUUUAUCUGGUAAAGCGAAUGAUUAGAGGUCUUAGGGCCGGAACGAUCUCAACCUAUUCUCAAACUUUAAGUGUGCGUGUCCUGGUUCGCCUGGUGGGCGAAGUUAUAGAGGGGGGGUGCCC